RNAcentral lists this ribosomal RNA (235 nucleotides) under uncultured Candidatus Saccharibacteria bacterium. RNAcentral's name for it is "partial 16S ribosomal RNA". It matches the Rfam family "Bacterial small subunit ribosomal RNA", at positions 584 to 818 of the family's 1533-position model. Lineage: Bacteria; Candidatus Saccharimonadota. The record is from RNAcentral.
AAAGCGAAUGGUUAAAUCUGAUGGCUCAACCAUCAAACUAUUAUUCGAACUCGUCUGCUCGAGAGUGAGAGAGGUACCUGGAAUUUCUAGUGUAGGAGUGAAAUCCGUAGAUAUUAGAAGGAACACCAAUGGCGUAAGCAGGGUACUGGCUCAUUUCUGACGCUAAGGCACGAAAGCGUGGGGAGCGAACCGGAUUAGAUACCCGGGUAGUCCACGCCGUAAACUAUGGAUACUA